AACCCAAAUAUUUAUUUCACGAUGCUCGGUUGCAAUGUGUGGGUGAAUCAAUUAGUAAAUGUACUGUAUUUAUUAUUAUUUUUUUUUUUUUUUAAAUGUCAAGCAUCGGUCGUGUUAGACUCCACAGAGUGGAACUCCUGUCAUCUCAUCAUGUCAACAAACAGUAGGCAGUAGGCUGCUGCUGAAGCAGUGAGGUCACAGGGAGACAAUGUAGCCAGCCCAAGAUUGGACUUAGCUCACCCACGCUCUGCAACGCGUCCCUCUGUAUGCGGGUAACCAUGACUACCGUCUGCCAGGGCUGCACUCUCAACAGCUCCCUGGCUCCCACAAUCAGGGCAGCUGAAAGACAGCAGUAGGGACAGAGCUAUUGAACAAGAGAGGUGUUUGAACAGCAAGGUAAGAGACAGCUUCUCAUAUGGUAUACUUACUCGCUGAAGAUUCUGUUUUCUGGUUAUGUAAGUAUUUUGAAAAUGUUUAUUUGGCCAUUCUAAAGUAUUAGUUACUUCUUUGUGUGCUUAACAGUAGGCCACAUGUGAACUGUAUGUAGACGGAAUACAUUUACUCAGUUUACAGAAGGUUAAUUCACACAGAAAACAUUUAUUAUGCGUCCACAUUUGUUUUCCUUGUAAGUUUUUUUUUUUUUAUUCUAUUUGACUGCAACACAAACACAAGGCAUUUGGAGUCCAGUCAGUGGUGUUAUAAUUAACAUUUAAUUAACUGCACUGCAUUGUUAAAGAUUGGGUGUGAACUCAGAGCAGAACGAACAAACACUGGAAAAGUCAAGGCAUGUUUUUCCAUGAAUAGUCGUAAUAAUAGCAGACUACGAACUGCCACUAACAUGAGACUCAAUCAAUCCUUGUCCCCUUUUCCUCCCUCUGGUCAGGGCCUGUGGAUACAGUCUGUGGCGGAUGGACUUGGCCCAGCUAUGGGUGGGUGAGGACCGCGGCCUCUCCCACGUGAAAGGCAGUGAUGACUGGGGUGAUGAGUUAGGAGGACUGAGCGUUAAACCCUUCAGUCAUUCCCUCAUCCCGCUCAGAGACUCUAGUCCACUCGUCCUCGCCGAUCUGGACAUGUGGGACAGCAGGUCUCACUUUAAAUCUCAGUCCUCAGCAUGGAGUCUGGCAUGUAUGACUGGAGGGUUCCUCUCCAAAAUGAGCACCAGCACCUACGCUAAUGGCAGAGAUGGUGGCUUCAGCAGACAGAGUGACCCAGGGCUGGGUAAAAGAAGAUGGCAGUCGAUGUCUCGCCUGGCCCCUGAGGGUGCCCCCCGGUCCUUCUCCCCUGUCUCCCCAGGGGUUGAGCUGAGAGCAGCCCUGGAAGAGAGUGGCUUUAGGUAUGAGCCUUUAUAAUGCCUUAUAACAAGGUACUUAGAGAGACAUAACAUAUUAUAAGCCUUUAUAAUGCCUUAUUAUAAUGUAAUUAGAUAUACAUAACCUAAUGUAUUAUAAGCCUUAUAACAAGGUACUUAGAGAGACAUAACAUAUUAUAAGCCUUUAUAAUGCUUUAUUAUAAUGUAAUUAGAUAUACAUAACCUAAUGUAUUAUAAGCCUUAUAACAAGGUACUUAGAGAGACAUAACAUAUUAUAAGCCUUUAUAAUGCCUUAUUAUAAUGUAAUUAGAUAUACAUAACCUAAUGUAUUAUAAGCCUUAUAACAAGGUACUUAGAGAGACAUAACAUAUUAUAAGCCUUUAUAAUGCCUUAUUAUAAUGUAAUUAGAUAUACAUAACCUAAUGUAUUAUACGCCUUAUAACAAGGCAUUA
Long non-coding RNA from Salmo trutta (river trout), 1761 nucleotides. The record is from Ensembl. NCBI's taxonomy places the organism in Eukaryota, Metazoa, Chordata, Actinopteri, Salmoniformes, Salmonidae.